Molecule: ribosomal RNA, 35 nt
Filed under: Rhizoctonia solani
Lineage: Eukaryota; Fungi; Basidiomycota; Agaricomycetes; Cantharellales; Ceratobasidiaceae
Description: partial 28S ribosomal RNA
Source: RNAcentral
CUACCCGCUGAACUUAAGCAUAUCAAUAAGCGGGA